AGAGUUUGAUCCUGGCUCAGAACGAACGCUGGCGGCAGGCCUAACACAUGCAAGUCGAGCGCACUCUUCGGAGUGAGCGGCGGACGGGUUAGUAACGCGUGGGAAUAUACCCAGAUCUACGGAAUAGCCUUUGGAAACGAAGAGUAAUACCGUAUACGCCCUUCGGGGGAAAGAUUUAUCGGAUUUGGAUUAGCCCGCGUUAGAUUAGAUAGUUGGUGGGGUAACGGCCUACCAAGUCGACGAUCUAUAGCUGGUUUGAGAGGAUGAUCAGCAACACUGGGACUGAGACACGGCCCAGACUCCUACGGGAGGCAGCAGUGGGGAAUCUUGGACAAUGGGCGCAAGCCUGAUCCAGCCAUGCCGCGUGAGUGAUGAAGGCCUUAGGGUCGUAAAGCUCUUUCGCCAGGGAUGAUAAUGACAGUACCUG
Molecule: ribosomal RNA, 427 nt
Filed under: uncultured Alphaproteobacteria bacterium
Lineage: Bacteria; Pseudomonadati; Pseudomonadota; Alphaproteobacteria
Description: bacterial SSU rRNA
Rfam family: Bacterial small subunit ribosomal RNA
Source: RNAcentral